ACACUUACCUGACAGGGGAGAUACCAUGAUCAAAAUGGUGGUUUUCCCAGGGGGAGGCUCAUCCAUUGUGCUCUAGAUAUGCUCACCUCUGAGUUUCUCCAAAUGAAGGAAACUCAACUGCAUAAUUUAUGGUAGUGGGAGAUUUGUGUUUGUGUUCUUA
Nannospalax galili (Upper Galilee mountains blind mole rat) is the source of this 160-nucleotide small nuclear RNA. Its record names the gene U1. It matches the Rfam family "U1 spliceosomal RNA". Rfam says of the family: U1 is a small nuclear RNA (snRNA) component of the spliceosome (involved in pre-mRNA splicing). Its 5' end forms complementary base pairs with the 5' splice junction, thus defining the 5' donor site of an intron. There are significant differences in sequence and secondary structure between metazoan and yeast U1 snRNAs, the latter being much longer (568 nucleotides as compared to 164 nucleotides in human). NCBI's taxonomy places the organism in Eukaryota, Metazoa, Chordata, Mammalia, Rodentia, Spalacidae. The record is from Ensembl.